This 1121-nucleotide long non-coding RNA is filed under the name Homo sapiens (human). RNAcentral's name for it is "HSALNT0248754". The record is from RNAcentral. Lineage: Eukaryota; Metazoa; Chordata; Mammalia; Primates; Hominidae.
CACAACUCCUGAAAAAUAAGAAAGAACGUCGGUCCUGGCAGUCUUUCAGCCACAAAGCUUUGAGAAAUGGGGCUAAAUAUUAAUAAUAACUGCUUGGAUUAUAAUGAGGAAUCAAUCAAAACACAUACUGUUGAUGAAGAUGCCUUGAACACCGUGGAUGCUGUAGAAUAAGGGAUUAUGACUACAGCAAUUCUUGGCUCCCUUCUCUGUUUGUUUAAGGGUUACACAGGCUUUGUUUAAUAUCUCCGUGUCUCAGUCCUUUCGGUUGAAGCACAAGGCAUGCUUCAGCCACCUGAGAUUAACUGCUAAACCCUGCAGCAAGCCAGCAUCUCCUCCCUGCUGCCUCUCAUCCGUCAGGAUCUGCUCUGGAAAUGGGCCAGUGGUGACGUGUGGGAAUGCAGCCCUUUGUGUUUGUUUUUGGUGUUGGAUUUGGUGGCCUUGGUCACGGAUUGGCUUCCUUCUUUGAAACUGAACAUCUUCCAUGCCUUUGUGAUUGAGUGACAAAAGUUCAACCUGCACAUGCCAAAAUGAACAGCCUAGAAAACUGAUUAUGGUUUCAGGACCAGCUUUAAAAAAAAGCAACAAAACCCUUCCAGUCACCCAGAGUUCUAAACAUAAUCGGUUGGUUCCCAGAAGUACAAUAAAAGGAAGCCAGAAGUAUUUUAGUCCCUAGUUGUUUAUGAAUCAACCUGAUUUUCUUUUUCAGACUUUGAAGGUCACAGAAUCAAAUCAUGUGGAGCCAUUUCCAUCAGUCCUCCUACCCACCCUUUCUCCCCUGUUCUCUGUUGCAAGUAGGGUUUUGCUAGGUUUAAGUAGAACAUUGCUCAGAAUUUCCAGGGGUUCUUAAUUAAAGCAGGUUUCUUUUCCAAGAAAGCUGCCUUGGAAAUUACUGGAAGGGAAGCAACAGUGACAAGUAAAGCAGGCGUCAGAAUACCUUCAGUGUACCCCAGCCCUGCUCCUCCCCUAGAGCACAGGCUCAGGAGUUCUGCUGGCCUUAGGUAGAAGCCAAGGAAGAGGGGCCUGCACUCAUCUUUCUGAGUAAGCCAGGGCACUUCAUGUCUGGGAUAAAGCCAGCAGGGCAUGGGACAUGGCAUGGAACUGAAUUUAUAUAGGAAGUAGAC